UUUGACCUCUAUCAAAAGUGGUUGACAAGGAAAAAUGUAGGCAAUGACUUUGAACCUUGCAUAUGAUCUUUCUAAAGUGGAGCUGAGGUGUAUCUGGAACUCUGGGAUUAGUGCAGUGCAUUCAUUUUGCUGUCAGGGUCAGUGAGGAAUAAAGCUUUGAAUUCAUCAUAUCAGUUGGAGCUCAGUAGCCUGGUUGAGAGCACCG
This 205-nucleotide unclassified non-coding RNA is filed under the name Hevea brasiliensis (rubber tree). The record is from RNAcentral. Lineage: Eukaryota; Viridiplantae; Streptophyta; Magnoliopsida; Malpighiales; Euphorbiaceae.